GUAAACCUACGGGGGGCAGCAGUGGGGAAUAUUGCACAAUGGGGGAAACCCUGAUGCAGCGACGCCGCGUGAGUGAAGAAGUAAUUCGUUAUGUAAAGCUCUAUCAGCAGGGAAGAAAAUGACGGUACCUGAGUAAGAAGCCCCGGCUAACUACGUGCCAGCAGCCGCGGCAAUACGUAGGGGGCAAGCGUUAUCCGGAUUUACUGGGUGUAAAGGGAGCGUAGACGGCAGUGCAAGUCUGGAGUGAAAGGCGGGGGCUCAACUCCCGGACUGCUCUGGAAACUGCACGGCUGGAGUGCAGGUGG
RNAcentral lists this ribosomal RNA (305 nucleotides) under uncultured bacterium. Its description in RNAcentral is "bacterial SSU rRNA". It matches the Rfam family "Bacterial small subunit ribosomal RNA", at positions 333 to 655 of the family's 1533-position model. The record is from RNAcentral.